AGUGAACGCUGGCGGUAGGCCUAACACAUGCAAGUCGAACGGCAGCACAGUAAGAGCUUGCUCUUACGGGUGGCGAGUGGCGGACGGGUGAGGAAUACAUCGGAAUCUACUUUUUCGUGGGGGAUAACGUAGGGAAACUUACGCUAAUACCGCAUACGACCUACGUGUGAAAGCAGGGGAUCUUCGGACCUUUCGCGAUUGAAUGAGCCGAUGUCGGAUUAGCUAGUUGGCGGGGUAAAGGCCCACCAAGGCGACGAUCCGUAGCUGGUCUGAGAGGAUGAUCAGCCACACUGGAACUGAGACACGGUCCAGACUCCUACGGGAGGCAGCAGUGGGGAAUAUUGGACAAUGGGCGCAAGCCUGAUCCAGCCAUACCGCGUGGGUGAAGAAGGCCUUCGGGUUGUAAAGCCCUUUUGUUGGGAAAGAAAAGCAGCAGGUUAAUACCCCGCUGUUCUGACGGUACCCAAAGAAUAAGCACCGGCUAACUUCGUG
Molecule: ribosomal RNA, 492 nt
Filed under: uncultured bacterium
Lineage: Bacteria
Description: partial 16S ribosomal RNA
Rfam family: Bacterial small subunit ribosomal RNA
Source: RNAcentral